RNAcentral lists this ribosomal RNA (260 nucleotides) under uncultured bacterium. RNAcentral describes it as "partial 16S ribosomal RNA". It matches the Rfam family "Bacterial small subunit ribosomal RNA", at positions 524 to 780 of the family's 1533-position model. The record is from RNAcentral.
UACAGAGGGUGCAAGCGUUGCUCGGAAUCAUUGGGCGUAAAGGGCAGGUAGGUGGUCUGAUUUGUCUGGAGGUGAAAGCCUUGGGCUUAACCCAAGAAGUGCCCCGGAAACGGUCAGACUUUGAGUCUUGGAGAGGGUUGCGGAAUUCCCGGUGUAGCGGUGAAAUGCGUAGAUAUCGGAAGGAACACCAGUGGCGAAAGCGGCUUCCUGGUCCAGCACCGACGUUCAGGCACGAAAGCGUGGGGAGCAAACAGGGAUUA